CACGGGUGAGUAAUAUAUAGGUAAUGUACCUCUUAGUCUGGGAUAGCCACUGGAAACGGUGAUUAAUACUGGAUACUCCUUCUAACUAUAAUGUUAGUUGGGAAAGUUUUUCGCUAAGAGAUCGGACUAUAUCCCAUCAGCUUGUUGGUGAGGUAAUGGCUCACCAAGGCAAUGACAGGUAGCGGGUUUGAGAGGAUGAUCCGCCACACUGGUACUGAGACACGGACCAGACUCC
Molecule: ribosomal RNA, 235 nt
Filed under: uncultured bacterium
Lineage: Bacteria
Description: partial 16S ribosomal RNA
Rfam family: Bacterial small subunit ribosomal RNA
Source: RNAcentral